UCCUACGGGAGGCAGCAGUGGGGAAUCUUAGACAAUGGGCGCAAGCCUGAUCUAGCCAUGCCGCGUGAGUGAUGAAGGUCUUAGGGUCGUAAAGCUCUUUCGCYGGAGRAGAUAAUGACUGUACCYRGUAAAGAAGYCCCGGCUAACUCCGUGCCAGCAGCCGCGGUAAUACGGAGGGGRCUAGCGUUGUUCGGAAUUACUGGGCGUAAAGCGYGCGUAGGCGGAUCAGCAAGUYGGGGGUGAAAUCCCGGGGCUCAACCCCGGAACUGCCUCYAAAACUGYUGGUCUAGAGUUCGAGAGAGGUGAGUGGAAUUCCGAGUGUAGAGGUGAAAUUCGUAGAUAUUCGGAGGAACACCAGUGGCGAAGGCGGCUCACUGGCUCGAUACUGACGCUGAGGUACGAAAGUGUGGGGAGCAAACAGGAUUAGAUACCCWKRUAGUCCWCACCKUAAACG
RNAcentral lists this ribosomal RNA (454 nucleotides) under uncultured Alphaproteobacteria bacterium. Its description in RNAcentral is "partial 16S ribosomal RNA". It matches the Rfam family "Bacterial small subunit ribosomal RNA", at positions 337 to 808 of the family's 1533-position model. Lineage: Bacteria; Pseudomonadati; Pseudomonadota; Alphaproteobacteria. The record is from RNAcentral.